GGAACAUCGGCUCGGGAAAGUGCUGGCCCCAGGGGCCGGCCUGGCGCAACGCGCGCGCCAGCUCCAGGUGGAACUCCUGGAUGCUCAAC
Molecule: transfer RNA, 89 nt
Filed under: Pseudomonas aeruginosa
Lineage: Bacteria; Pseudomonadati; Pseudomonadota; Gammaproteobacteria; Pseudomonadales; Pseudomonadaceae
Description: tRNA-Leu
Source: RNAcentral